AUGUGAUCUGGGUUCUGAUAUUAUCUCUGCGCUCUGCAGUGUGCCAUGGGCACAUGAGGAAUGUCAGAAGUCAUAACCAUGCCUGAUGACAACAGUUUCCUUUGGCCUGGUGUGGUAUUGUAAAUUGUCGCUUUUAGACCAACUUUUUAGUGAUAGACCCUCUCUAUGCUUUUUGUUGUAAGCUACUGCAGAUUCUUGCCACAGGUAUGAAGUAAAUUCUGUUAAUAGCCUUGAUUUUUCACCUGUGCCACCAUAUAUAUCUUUGCCAUGGCCUCAUGAUGGAUGGAAUAUACUUCCCUGCCCCUUGACUUGAUACUUGACCAUGUAACUUUUUUGGAACAAUGAAAGAUGAUGGAAAUGUCAGUAUACCUGUGCUCAGGUAUACUGUGCUAGGUCUUAAGAAGCCUCCAGUGUUUCCAGCUAUACAUCUGCAAUCACCAUGAGAAGGACCUGCUCAAGCAAACCACUAGUCACAGGAGGAGAAUGAGAGACACAUGGAGCAGAGCUGCCCUCAGAGUCCACCUAGAUUAGUUGUCAGCAGACCUCCAGUGGACUUGUAGAAACACAAGCAAUAAUAAAAGGCUGUUGUUUUAA
This 594-nucleotide long non-coding RNA is filed under the name Homo sapiens (human). RNAcentral describes it as "HSALNT0292336". Lineage: Eukaryota; Metazoa; Chordata; Mammalia; Primates; Hominidae. The record is from RNAcentral.